This 549-nucleotide ribosomal RNA is filed under the name uncultured beta proteobacterium. RNAcentral describes it as "bacterial SSU rRNA". It matches the Rfam family "Bacterial small subunit ribosomal RNA", at positions 355 to 897 of the family's 1533-position model. The record is from RNAcentral. Lineage: Bacteria; Pseudomonadati; Pseudomonadota; Betaproteobacteria.
UGGGGAAUUUUGGACAAUGGGCGCAAGCCUGAUCCAGCCAUGCCGCGUGAGUGAAGAAGGCCUUCGGGUUGUAAAGCUCUUUCGGCGGGGACGAAACGGUCCGUGUCAACACCACGGAUCACUGACGGUACCCGCAGAAGAAGCACCGGCUAACUACGUGCCAGCAGCCGCGGUAAUACGUAGGGUGCAGGCGUUAAUCGGAAUUACUGGGCGUAAAGCGUGCGCAGGUGGUUUGCUAAGACAGGUGUGAAAUCCCCGGGCUUAACCUGGGAACUGCGCUUGUAACUGGCAAGCUUGAGUGCGGCAGAGGGGGGUGGAAUUCCACGUGUAGCAGUGAAAUGCGUAGAGAUGUGGAGGAACACCGAUGGCGAAGGCAGCCCCCUGGGUCGACACUGACGCUCAUGCACGAAAGCGUGGGGAGCAAACAGGAUUAGAUACCCUGGUAGUCCACGCCCUAAACUAUGUCAACUGGUUGUCGGGGAAGCAAUUCCUUGGUAACGAAGCCAACGCGUGAAGUUGACCGCCUGGGGAGUACGGCCGCAAGGUUAA